This is an RNA transcript of Ziziphus jujuba (common jujube), 2246 nucleotides long. It is a transcript of the gene named homeobox-DDT domain protein RLT1, with no coding region annotated. The transcript is spliced from 9 exons. The record is from RefSeq and is a predicted model, not a curated record. Lineage: Eukaryota; Viridiplantae; Streptophyta; Magnoliopsida; Rosales; Rhamnaceae.
GUAAAAGUUAAUUGGAAGAAGAAACUAAAAUGAAGGGGAAAAAGGGAGAAGAGAAAAUUAUAAAAAAAAAAAAGAAAAAUUCCCUCUGCCUUUCUGCCUUCUCUCUCUACAGCAUAGGAAUUAAUUAGAUGCAAACAAAAACAUGCAAAACCCAAUUGCAUAUUUGUUUGCUUCAAUAUUUUUGUCUAAUGGGUUUCGCUUUUUGAGCCUGUAGAAGUCAGAAAACUCUUUUAACGGAAGAGGGACUUUCAGAAAUUGACACAAACCAUGGAAGAACUAAGUGAAGCGCAUUCUGAGGACAAUAAAGUUUCUCAAGAUAAUAACAAGAAGAGACGGCUUAAGACACCUGGCCAGGUUAUGGCUUUAGAGAAAUUUUAUAAUGAGCACAAAUAUCCUACAGAGGAAAUGAAAUCAGCACUUGCAGAGGAGUUAGGAUUGACAGAAAAGCAGAUAUCUGGAUGGUUUUGCCACCGGAGGUUAAAGGAUAAAAAAUUGUUGAGAGAUGAAAAGUUCACUAAUGGACGACAAGAUCGUUCAAGCGGAAUUAUACAGGAUCGUGGCAGUGGACUUGGGCAAGACUCAUGUGGCAGUACUAAGAAUGCAGAGUAUAGGCAUGUCGAUCCAAGGGAAGUUGAAAGUCGAAGGCUUUAUGGGCAUGAUUUUCCGACUGCGGAACUCAGUCAUGAUCAAAGAAGUCAUUAUACCGAAAGAGUUAGUGGUGUAGAUAAUACAUCUUCAGAAAGUAGCUCAUCGUUACAAGAUAGGUUGUUUUCUCAAAGUGACGAUCCUUAUGAUAUGGAAACUUCUAGGUACCUAAAACAUGAUGGAGUUAUUGCAGGCGCAAAUCCAAAGGUCUCAAGAAACAUGGGAUAUAAGCCCUCAGGAUAUCUGAAAGUUAAGGGUGAAAUAGAAAAUGCUGCUGUUACGGCUGUCAAGAGGCAAUUGGGGAGGCAUUAUCGGGAGGAUGGUCCACCACUCGCUGUAGAAUUUGAACCGCUUCCUCCUGGUGCAUUUGAAUCCCCAGGGGAUCCCGGCCAUGAGCGAUACUACGUUGAGAAUUCUGUUCUUCCCGAUUCUCCUGACAUUUCUGGAGUGAAAAGGCAACCCAGUCCUAGCACUAGAUAUGAAGUAUAUAAUUCAAAGGUCAGUUCAAAGGACUCCUAUGUUCACGAAGCUCCUAUGAUGCAUGUAUUUGAAGGUCAGGAGAUUAAAUCUGGCAACCAGUCAAGGAAAAAAUCAACUUAUCUUAAUCGUACUAGUUCUUUACCUGGACGAAACUCUACCUUGAAUACAUAUGAUGAAUCCGGUUACAACAGGAAUAGUAGGAUGAGCUCUAAACAUGGUGUUGAAGGGAUGAUAUCUGACUCUGCCCUAAAACAUCAUGGUCAAUAUAGUGGGAAAAUCUCUAGGGAGCAAUCAGUUCCUUGGUUAGAUGAGGAUAAUAACACAAGCCCAAAAAUUCUCCAAAGGAGUGAGUACUCAAAAUUGAAGCCUUCAGUUUCAAAACGUUAUGGCCAUGAGAUGUUUGAUAUGAAGGACAGAAGGCAAUCUAAGAUUAUGGCAAAGGCUCAGGAGGAUAUAUAUAAUGAAGAAGCUAAAGCCACAAAAGAGAAAUGCAGUCCUGUUAAAGUAAAGAUGAAGCCAACAAAUGAGAUGAUGGCUGGAAAGAAAGUUAUGGUUGAUUGUUCACAGCAAGAUUAUGGUACAAAUUCUUCCAUUGCUCCUUUGCCGCCACGUAGUCAUCUCGUUAUAGGUUGAUGGCGGGCUGUUAUUGAAGGACAGUUGUAUUCUACUCAUGAUGAUUGGUGUCUUACAUUCUUGAUCUACCAUGGAGAUGCCAUCUAGCUUUAGUGAGGAUGAUGAAACUGCAGAAACCAGUUCGUCUGUGGAUUGAUAUUUGAUGGAUGACAAGAAAACCAUGAAGGGGUUUUGCAAGGCUGUUGGGAUGUGUAGCUAAUUAGAUCAUGUAUUUUACUAUUCAAUUAUUGCAGCUAACUAUGUUCCUUGCCUUUUCAUUAGUCCAUGUUUAUAAGUUUAGGAUUUAUUUUGUUUUUGUUAUUACUGCUUUACUUGCAUAUAAUGCAGAUAAAUUUGGUUGUAAAUGCCAUGUGCUUGGAACCGGGGCUAAGAAUGUUCCACAAAAAGAAGUUACAAAUGUUGAAACUUUGAAGGAAAAGUUGUUGAAUCAUGCGUCUUACUCUGUAUAUAUGUUUUUGAAAAAUUAUAUAUCAUCAGAACUUAUUUCA